GAUGAACGCUGGCGGCGUGCCUAAUACAUGCAAGUCGAGCGAACAGACGAGGAGCUUGCUCCUCUGACGUUAGCGGCGGACGGGUGAGUAACACGUGGAUAACCUACCUAUAAGACUGGGAUAACUUCGGGAAACCGGAGCUAAUACCGGAUAAUAUAUUGAACCGCAUGGUUCAAUAGUGAAAGACGGUUUUGCUGUCACUUAUAGAUGGAUCCGCGCCGCAUUAGCUAGUUGGUAAGGUAACGGCUUACCAAGGCAACGAUGCGUAGCCGACCUGAGAGGGUGAUCAGCCACACUGGAACUGAGACACGGUCCAGACUCCUACGGGAGGCAGCAGUAGGGAAUCUUCCGCAAUGGGCGAAAGCUUGACGGAGCAACGCCGCGUGAGUGAUGAAGGUCUUCGGAUCGUAAAGCUCUGUUAUUAGGGAAGAACAAAUGUGUAAGUAACUAUGCACGUCUUGACGGUACCUACUCAGAAAGCCACGGCUAACUACGUG
RNAcentral lists this ribosomal RNA (497 nucleotides) under uncultured bacterium. Its description in RNAcentral is "partial 16S ribosomal RNA". It matches the Rfam family "Bacterial small subunit ribosomal RNA", at positions 28 to 507 of the family's 1533-position model. The record is from RNAcentral.